Molecule: long non-coding RNA, 292 nt
Filed under: Ricinus communis (castor bean)
Lineage: Eukaryota; Viridiplantae; Streptophyta; Magnoliopsida; Malpighiales; Euphorbiaceae
Description: long non-coding RNA (RCOM_LNC000916)
Source: RNAcentral
AGGAAAGACUGACUCUCUAACAGUGAAGGCUGAAACACUGGAGUCAAUGAAAACAACAAGACAGACAUGAUCCUAACUCCGCAGUACCAAGAAAAAUCCUAACUUAGGUCGAAGGAAAUCUAAACCUAAGCUCUGAUACCAACUUUGUCACGACCCCACCCGUGGGCCCGUGACCGGCACUAGGGAAUGGGUAGGCUUAAGGCCACCGAAACCCGUAGUAAGCCUGACACUCACUGAUUUAAACAAAUCUCAACUCAAAUUUAUAUUAUUAAAACCAUAAAUUAUCUUAAUA